UGUCANGCNGGCAUACAGGGUGAGUANCGCGUGGGAACGUACCUUUUGGUUCGGAACAACACAGGGAAACUUGUGCUAAUACCGGAUAAGCCCUUACGGGGAAAGAUUUAUCGCCGAAAGAUCGGCCCGCGUCUGAUUAGCUAGUUGGUGAGGUAAUGGCUCACCAAGGCGACGAUCAGUAGCUGGUCUGAGAGGAUGAUCAGCCACAUUGGGACUGAGACACGGCCCAAACUCCUACGGGAGGCAGCAGUGGGA
This 255-nucleotide ribosomal RNA is filed under the name Bradyrhizobium sp. F3b. RNAcentral's name for it is "partial 16S rRNA". It matches the Rfam family "Bacterial small subunit ribosomal RNA", at positions 88 to 358 of the family's 1533-position model. The record is from RNAcentral. Lineage: Bacteria; Pseudomonadati; Pseudomonadota; Alphaproteobacteria; Hyphomicrobiales; Nitrobacteraceae.